UUUGAGCCGCGCAGUUGCAG
Molecule: unclassified non-coding RNA, 20 nt
Filed under: Chlamydomonas reinhardtii
Lineage: Eukaryota; Viridiplantae; Chlorophyta; Chlorophyceae; Chlamydomonadales; Chlamydomonadaceae
Description: small RNA Cre_4126
Source: RNAcentral